GCAGCCCUCAGGCCAAAAAGUUCGCCUGUUCCUGUGAUAAGCUAAGCUAUCUUAGAAGCACAAGCACAUUUUCUGUGCAAGAAUAGCUUCCCAGAAAGAAGGCAUGUAUGUCUCCUUCCCGUACGGCUGCGUGUUUAAACAAUAAAUUUGGGUAAGUUUGGUUAUUUGGUAUCUUGAACAUUUAAGAACAAAUCAUGAGUAUAAUCAAACAAUUGUCUACUUUCUGUCAAUAGGUGGGAUUCUGAAAUUCUCCCAUUCUUGAGACUAGGUCCUGGGCUACAGUAUCCUGUGGAUCAAUUGUACUUAACAGGUCCAAGUGAGUUCAGGGAGAAUUGAUUGUGAAUCUGAAGGCAGAAAGCAAUUUGGGUGAAAGUGAUCAUGAAAUGCUGAUUUCAUCAUUCUAAAGAAAGAAAGGAGCAAAAGCAGCAGAAUAAGGACAUAAAAAGGGCUGCAAAGCGCUGGGCCCAGGCCAGGAGCAGAGCCCUGGGAUGGCUGCCAGUACCCCAUGCUGACAGGAGGGCUGAGCAGGCCCGGAUGGCUGGAACCCCAGACCAGCAGCGAGAAGCUGGUCCAAUAGAAGAUAUUACCUUGCCCACCUCGUCUCUUCAAUACCAUAGGAGCCACACAGCUACAACAACACUGCAUAUUAUCUAAGCUCUUCCAUCACGUGAGAAGGGCACAGGAACGCCGAGCUGUUUAAAAACCCUGCAGGUAUCUGUGGGUGCCAACAGGUUUCCCCUGAAGAGAUCCCUGACAACUGCCUACCCCAAAGAACGAUCAUGUCCUUUUAAAUCUAGCCAGCGUUUUUGUUCGCCGCCGCCUCCCAAACUCGGGCUUCCUGCCCAAACCUGUCCCGUGACCUCCAUAGGCAGGGCCAGAGCAUCAAACCGAGAGGCGUUUGCAUCGUCUCCCAAGUCCCCCUCCCGGAAACACUUGAGUUGAGCUGAGGCGUCCUUCAUUACCUCGCCCACCUGACUGUUUCCAAACAGCCCCGAUGGCACCGCCCCCAACAGCCAUGCGGUGACCAUCCCCGCGGCCAGACCGGCACA
Molecule: long non-coding RNA, 1049 nt
Organism: Dermochelys coriacea (leatherback sea turtle)
Lineage: Eukaryota; Metazoa; Chordata; Testudines; Dermochelyidae
Exons: 4
Source: RefSeq, a predicted model, not a curated record